AAAAAUAGGGACUGGUUUCCUUCUCACUUCCUCAAUCGAGAUGUGACAUCGAUGAACAAAUCCUCACUGCAGGGAAUAGUCACACCACCCAUUGGAUGGUCGAAGCCAAAUUCUUCCUCAGCUUGACUAAGCAAGUCUUGAAAUAAAGGUUCGCUCAAGAAUGAUAUGGGGAUCAUGAAUCUCUUUUUCUGCAUCUCCCCAACAUACACAGCAAAAUGGCCCUUGGGAAUAUCUCUGGUUGCGGAAGACUUCUUGAUCAUACGAAGAAUAGCCAUGAUGAUUUAGUUUUAGUAUAGAUAAGAAAGGUAAAAGAAAUACAAAGGAACUCAAAAGCAGAGAAAGUUUUGAUGUUUGCUGAGAGCUGUUGUGGAAGAUACCACUUUGGAUGUUUAUAUAGGCAAUAUCGACUCAUUCUGAUGUAUUUUGAGUAGGAAUUUGUGGGCACCAGCAGAAGACAAUGUCACUGAAGUAUCACAUGCUCUUGCCUUCCAAGUAUUGAAAACUUUGUGGUAUUAGUUGAAGAACAAUAGGCCCUACAUUUUUUUGAAUCUUGGAAAGAAGCAUUAUUCAUUAUAGAAUUUUUGAGAAGUCAUAAAGUUCAUGAUUCUGGUGAAGAGCCAUUUGGAUUGGACAUCAGUUAAAGACGAUGAUAUAUCAGUAAUCACAUGGCCCUGCCUUCCAGCUAGUUGACAUGAGUAAUUGCUUUAGCUCAUCAGAUCAAGUUCAAUAGGUCCUGCAUAUAUUUUCCUAUAGGGAACCAAGGAUCUCUAAGAAUCAAAUCCAUAAAAAUUGCUGGUAGCCUAUGAUGCAAACUGUGUCCACUUAUAUACAAACUAUAAGAGAAAAGAAGUCAAAAAUAUGAAAGAUUUCACUGGUGGAGAGGUAUUUGUUGCACUGUUUAUUGACAAUAGCACAUGAAGCAUCACAUGGUGUUGUUGCCCAACUCAUUGUCUAAUAUAUAUGAUCUUAGCAAAUUGCUCAUGAAUAUCAUCAGACCCCAGUGUUUUUCAUGACAAGAUAGAGAACAGACUAUCUUUAGAGAUCAAAUUGAUAAUUUACUGCAAUAGUUGACAACUUGUGGGAUCAACAUUCCGGAUGAGAAUAACCCAUGGUAUUUCAAUAGUUUUUGACAAGUGUUUUCAAAUAGUAGAUAACAGAAAUGUUUAUUGACUAUCAAUAUGUCUAUGUUUUGCAUAUCCAUCAAAUUAUGAGUCAGUCAGAACCUUACUAUUGCCAGAAAUUUGAAUCCAUAUUCAAGAAAAGUAUAGAUAUUAUAUCUUAUUAAGAGUUGAUGAAUUUACAUCCAUUUUCUAUCUCAUUCAGUUAAACUCAGUAAUUUCACAUUACUGCAGAAUAUCAGAUCUAGUACAUAUUGAGUUAUUUGUACAUUGUACGACGGAUGCUGCCAAGUGCAUCUAAUUUAUUUGGAACCCCAAAGUGUAAUUAUUACCAAUAGAAUGAAUUGUGCCACUAAAGAAUGAAUUGAGAAAACCAUGAGAGUUGAGCAAAAAAUUUCUAUUGCAAUGAAUUGAUUACAUCAAUGUAUGGAAGUAAAAUGUUUCAUUACUUCAAUUACUUUUGAAGUAGAAAAAUGUGUCCUUAGUCUACCUAGUGUUUCUUAUAACUCUCAACUGUACACAGUGGAGUUCCUGGCUUACUACAACUAUACAAAAUUGAGUUAACAAAAAAAUAGGGACUGGUUUCCUUCUCACAUUCUCAAUCGAGAUGUGACAUCGAUGAACAAAUCCUCACUGCAGGGAAUAGUCACACCACCCAUUGGAUGGUCGAAGCCAAAUUCUUCCUCAGCUUGACUAAGCAAGUCUUGAAAUAAAGGUUCGCUCAAGAAUGAUAUGGGGAUCACAAAUCUCUUUUUCUGCAUCUCCCCAACAUACACAGCAAAAUGGCCCUUGGGAAUAUCUCUGGUUGCGGAAGGCUUCUUGAUCAUACGA
Molecule: long non-coding RNA, 1949 nt
Filed under: Solanum melongena (eggplant)
Lineage: Eukaryota; Viridiplantae; Streptophyta; Magnoliopsida; Solanales; Solanaceae
Description: long non-coding RNA (SMEL_LNC000049)
Source: RNAcentral